UGGGGAAUAUUGGACAAUGGGCGCAAGCCUGAUCCAGCCAUGCCGCGUGAGUGAUGAAGGCCUUAGGGUUGUAAAGCUCUUUUGGCGGGGACGAUAAUGACGGUACCCGCAGAAUAAGCCCCGGCUAACUUCGUGCCAGCAGCCGCGGUAAUACGAAGGGGGCUAGCGUUGUUCGGAAUCACUGGGCGUAAAGCGCACGUAGGCGGACCUUCAAGUCAGGGGUGAAAUCCCGGGGCUCAACCUCGGAACUGCCUUUGAUACUGUUGGUCUCGAGUCCGGAAGAGGUGGGUGGAAUUCCUAGUGUAGAGGUGAAAUUCGUAGAUAUUAGGAAGAACACCGGUGGCGAAGGCGGCCCACUGGUCCGGUACUGACGCUGAGGUGCGAAAGCGUGGGGAGCAAACAGGAUUAGAUACCCCAGUAGUCCCUGAGCGGGCUGGCAAGGCGCAU
RNAcentral lists this ribosomal RNA (447 nucleotides) under uncultured bacterium. RNAcentral describes it as "bacterial SSU rRNA". It matches the Rfam family "Bacterial small subunit ribosomal RNA", at positions 355 to 825 of the family's 1533-position model. The record is from RNAcentral.